GCCAGCAUGGUGUAAAGAUUUGAAUGUUUGACUGUGACUCAGGAGAUCAAGGUUCGAUUCCCUGCUCAGGCA
This is a non-coding RNA of Phrynosoma platyrhinos (Desert horned lizard), 72 nucleotides long. NCBI's taxonomy places the organism in Eukaryota, Metazoa, Chordata, Lepidosauria, Squamata, Phrynosomatidae. The record is from the annotation of a GenBank genome assembly.